Molecule: ribosomal RNA, 490 nt
Filed under: uncultured bacterium
Lineage: Bacteria
Description: partial 16S ribosomal RNA
Rfam family: Bacterial small subunit ribosomal RNA
Source: RNAcentral
AGUGAACGCUGGCGGUAGGCCUAACACAUGCAAGUCGAACGGCAGCACAGGAGAGCUUGCUCUCUGGGUGGCGAGUGGCGGACGGGUGAGGAAUACAUCGGAAUCUGCCCAGUCGUGGGGGAUAACGUAGGGAAACUUACGCUAAUACCGCAUACGACCUUCGGGUGAAAGAGGGGGAUCGCAAGACCUCUCGCGAUUGGAUGAGCCGAUGUCGGAUUAGCUAGUUGGCGGGGUAAUGGCCCACCAAGGCGACGAUCCGUAGCUGGUCUGAGAGGAUGAUCAGCCACACUGGAACUGAGACACGGUCCAGACUCCUACGGGAGGCAGCAGUGGGGAAUAUUGGACAAUGGGCGCAGGCCUGAUCCAGCCAUACCGCGUGGGUGAAGAAGGCCUUCGGGUUGUAAAGCCCUUUUGUUGGGAAAGAAAUCUUUCAGGCUAAUACCCUGGGAGGAUGACGGUACCCAAAGAAUAAGCACCGGCUAACUUCGUG